Molecule: long non-coding RNA, 7068 nt
Filed under: Homo sapiens (human)
Lineage: Eukaryota; Metazoa; Chordata; Mammalia; Primates; Hominidae
Description: non-protein coding PSMG3-AS1:27
Source: RNAcentral
CUUCCGGAAGUCAGGGCCGCGGCGCUUCUGGUCCCGGAGACUUGGGGCUCCCGGGCUUCUGAGCGGCUCGGGUUCCGCGCUGCCGGCAGGGCUUGGGGGCGCCUUAGAGCCGAACCCCGUUUUUUCAGGAAAGGGCGCUGCGACCACCCCCGUCCCGGGCCUCAGCCCCUCUGCUGCAGACCCUCGGGAUCGUCGCUGGUAGGAGCUCUGUCCCCCGUGUCUGUGUCCAGGACCCCCGAAGCGCCGCGCCUAGGAACCCCCUAGCGCUGGGAGCCCGGCCCUGCUCGACCACGGGCUUUGGGCUGGAGGCGUCAUCGUCGCCACAGCGAACGCUUAUUUGGCACCGAGUGUCCGCCAGGCAUCGCUCUAAGCGCUUUAUACCCAUAACUCACUUCAUCUCAGCCACCCGGUUCCGUAGAAGCGUUUCAUCCGCGUUUUACAGACGUGUGCAGGAAAGAUUCUGAAGCUUGGCGGAGAGGGGUGUGUGAGUGGACACCAGUGAAGUAACGGUUUUUGUGUUACGAUGAUUUCUGUUUUCCUCUGCUGCCCUGUAAUGGCAGGAACUCGGAUAGUCUGGUCUUCAGACCAGGAGGACUCCCAGGAGAGAACGGAGAGCCAGUGUGCUGUGUGUCACGGUCCCUGGAUGAACGUUUGUGGAACUGGAUUGAAUUAAACAAGACGUGCAAAGCAAGUGGUUCACGAGAUAUUUACGGAGCAUCCCCAGCUGCUGGAUGCUGGGACCCACCAGUGGGCAAGAGGGCCGUGCCCACCCCUUCCUGGAAGAGACACUCACUCAGUAAAUGCAGAGAUUCAGUGUUGGGGUAACCCCAGCACACAGCCCUGAGGGAGGAAGCCCAGUGAUUUGAUCGGAUUUGCUUUUCUCUUCUGCCUCGGAUUCUGUCCAACCCCUGGAAGGACCUCUGAGGUGUCCCGUGGCUGGUUCUAGGCCCCAUUCAAGCCUCCUCCUCCAGGAAGCCUUCCCAGUCCUGGGCAUCUGUAGCCAGCUCGGUGUUUCUCACCUGGGGCCUGGGACGUCUCCCAUUCUGAACUGCCGUGUUUUGGGUUUACUGUUCUCUGGCUUUUGGUCCCAGCCGGACGGUGGCCUCUUGUGUUCAGGGACAAGGCAAGGAGCAUCCAUGCACCCCCACAGUACCCAGGCUGGGUCUGUGCCCGCCAGGCCCCCGGCAAAGCUUGGAUGAUCCGGGCUGGGCUGUUCUCCUGCUGCUCUCCUGCUGCUGGCCUCGCUGUAUCAGCUGAUGGCCAUCGCGCCUCCUGCACCCGUCAUCCCGCCCUGCACGCCCCCGCCACGUGGAUGAGCUCCCUGGGGAGUUAAUGGCUAAUGGAGUCUCCGCUCUCUCUUGUCAAAUGCAGCCAUCAUCCGCUGGUGCUUUAAGGGACUCUCUCCCGUCCCCACCCUAUUCUCAGGUGGCUCCUACCGACACCACCUAAUGGUGAACCCCAACACGAGGACACAGGCAGUGCCCUCUCAGGACCACUGUGGGUGCCACCAGGCACGACUUCCUAAACACCCACAGAGCAAAAACCUGGAAAUUCAGCCGAGGCACUGGGACCCCAACCUCUCCCAGAGUGGCCCCAGCUCCACGGCGUCUGCAUGGCUCUGGCCGUGAGCAGAGCAGCCCCGACCUCCGUCCUGACCCAGGGCGCCGGAGCGCCACUGCGGAUCUCACCACCACACAAGCCAGACCUGCUAGGAAGCCCUUCCCGGCCACCAGCUCUCGGGCGAUGCACACAACAGGGCCUUUUGAAUUCCCUGAGGUUAAGGUUCCCCUUGAGUCUCCUGGGCUACAAGCAAAUCCCCCGAGGGGAGAAGUCCAGGCUGACACAGCCUCCUGCACCCCUGCCUUGGGAGGCCACACCUCGUUUGCCUCUAGAACCGACGACUGGGGAGCACUGUUUGCAGAGUUCUCUCUCUCUGGGUAAGUUCCGGAGCCACAUCUCACUGGAUCCACCACGGCCUGGGUGGACGGCUCUCGUGUGUUUAUAGCUGGGUCCCUCGCUUGGGAGCUGCCUCCGGGUGGGCGGCCUCUCCAGCCUGUUUGAGUGCUCCACCCGGAGCAGGAAGAGGGCCGUGUGCUCUGGGCAGUGGUUCCUUGGGCACUGCAUGGUCCUUGCUUCCCUCCAGGGCCCACCUUCCCUGGCCGCUGCAUCCCAGCCGAGGGCAGGCCCCUUUUGCCAGCUGAAGGCAGAAAGGCCGGCAGCCCUGGGGUGGCGGCGGGCAGAGAAACCCCCCGGAGUGGUCUCCGUUCUUCUAAAAGUGAUGUUGACCCCCGUGUCGCAGGCAGCUGGCAGGGUGGCAGUUCGAUCUGUCGUUACGGGCUUGCACCACUGCGGUCUCCCACCCAGGGAGCAGCUCUGUCCAACCACAGCGAGCCUCCAGCUCCUACCCUCUGCCUGGGCUGGGGCAGAGCCUGGGGUCUGGGUGGGAGAAGCGUGACUCUGGGAUGAGACCUUACAAAGCAGGUUCCUCCUGGGAGUCAGCCCGGGUCUAAACGCAGCUGGGCAUGAAGGGGUGCCAUCGGAUGUCGAGUUAGGAGGACGAGAGACCUCCAGCCCCGGCACCCGCAUGUCUCUUUGGAAACCAGCUUUGGCUGCGCCCCUGGGGACACUGUCUGCCGUGGCCUCCCGCUCUCCUCCCCGGCACAGGCAGGGGGUCUCCCUCCUCCACCGCCACUCCCUUGGCCUCGCCCUCCCCGCCAGGCACCUGGCUUUUCCCCACCGACCCCCCCGGGGGACUGCGGCCCCCAGAAAGGCUGCACUCUGGGAGCAAAGUGGCCUGAAACCAGAGAAAAGAACGCCGGGGGAUUUGGCUUAAACUCGUUAAACCCAAUGAACCCUCUUGCCGAACGAUCGCAGUCUGCGCCCGGUCUUUUAAUCUCGUUCGGGCCUCGGGGUAAUUUGUUUAGCUGUGCUGAUCAGCUGAAGGUUAAUUCAAUUGGACUUGGGUUAUUUAUUUGUGCCCGGAUUUGCUAAGUGUCAUUGGAGGUACAUGAGGUCUUUAUUAUGGCGGCAAGAUGGCUUCAUUAGGGUGAGGGCCACUCCCUCCGGAUCCGCCCCCUCCCGCCAGCUCCAGGCUGAGGCAGUCUUGGGAGGCUGGAGCCCUGGGAGGCUGGAGCCCCAGGUGCAGUGGCUCUUGUUCCUGGAUGCAGGGGAUAUCUGAGCACUGUGCUGGGAGUCCAGCCUCGCCCAGCUCUGGUGUUGAUACUGGACGGUUCUGUCACAUGACCUAUCCUAACCGAGGCUGAAGGACCUGCUUCCCAGGACCCGUCCCCUCCCUCAGGGGGACCUAAAGGCGUUUUCCCCACCCUGCCUCAGUGUUCCCAUUCACACAUUGGGAACAGCACCCUGUUCUCCUGCGGCCUCCCAGGCUGGGCUUUGUAGCUGCAGCCCCCACCCCGCCUGGCGACCGGGGCAGAAGGACGCUGAGGUCGCAGAGCGGGCAGACGGGUUGGCCGGGCGGGCAGACCUCCUGCACGGAGCCGGGAUCCUUCUCAGGCAGCGGCAGAUGAUGGAUUGCACGUGGACACUGCCUGGGAUGCGUGCGACUUGGCAGCCUGCCCCUUUCCUGCCCUGGGAUCAGACGCCCUGGCGGGUGUCCUUUUCCUGGUCCCCUGUCCUCCUAGCCUGGGGCGGCGUCUGGAGCGGGGAGGCUCACCCCUGUGCCCACGUCCUCAGGCCACCUGCCAGUCCCUGCCCACCCCGGCCGCGGAGGGGCUGUGGAGACUCAGGGAGUUCUGGGAUGGCACAGAGGGCCCAGGCUGGUAGCAACCAAAGCCGUGGGAAAUGUGGGAGGGAUGGCAGGUGUCCCCCGAGGAGUAGCCCAGGUGCCCCGGAGGCUGCUGAGAGGGUUGAGAGUGCAGAGACGAGGGGCCCAGGGAAGUCUUGGAUUCUCUCGCCAUCUUCAAUGUCGGAGCCCAGACGGGGCAAGGCGAGGAGGAGCCCGGGGCGAAGACGCCACCCACAUUCCUCCUUCCCGCAGGCUUCUUCUCCUUCUAGCCCUUCCAGGAGAGAAACCAUCCCACAAGUCCAGAGUAGUGGCGUCCCCGGGGCCAUGUCUCCUGAGCAAACACUGUUUUCUAGGAGUCCGAGGGGCCUCAGCCAUCUAGGUCAAUCCCUUUGCAGAACGGUGAAGGAAUCUGAAGCCCAGAGAGGGAAAACAAUGCCUCCUGGGUCACACAGCCCAUCAGGGGCAGGGCAGGGACGAACGGCGAGAAAAGGACCAGCGCGAGAGGAGAUCCCCAGCAGUGAUUCCUCAGCCAAGCCCAGCGUCUACCCACAUCCACACCUCACAGCCACCUGAUGGGGAAGGCACCAUUGCCCCUUUUCAAAGGUGAGAAAACAGAGGCUCAGAGAGGUUCAGCAACUUCUCCCACAGCUACUUCGUUGUAGAACUGCAGUUCCAGGUGUCCCCGAGCUCUCCCUUCCCGAGCCAUCUGCUCCUGCCCUCCUAUCCGAGCCCUGGCCCUCCCAGUCAAAGCCGGGUAGUGGCUGUUCAGAAGCCUUGGGGCUAGUCAAUCCCAGCUGUCUCGGACCAGGGCCCCCCCCAGGAGGAGACCCUGAAGGAUGCAGUUGAGAAUAUGUGCUUUCUUUGGUAGGUGAUCUCAGGAAUUGCAGGGGAAAGAGGGGGAGCGUGUUAGUGUAGGCUCUCCGGAGAAGCAGAACCAACGCACAGAGGAGAUUUAGGAUGAGGAAUCUGGUUUAUGUGACUCUGGGGGCUGAGAAGGCCCACCAUCUGUGUUGCAAGCUGGAAACCCAGGGAAGCCUGAGGUGUGAUUCAAACUCAGCUCAGGUCUGGAGGCCUGAGAACCAGGGCAGCCGAUGGUGGACAUCCAGUCCAGGGGCAAGAGAUGACGAGAUGUCCCGGCUCCAGUGGCGAGGCAGGAAAUGAGGGGUGAACUCCUCCUCCCUCUGCUGUCUGUUCUAUUCAAGUUCUUGAGGGAUUGGAUUAUGCCCAGCCACUUGGGGAGGGCAGUCCACCUUCCUGAGUCCACAAUUCAAAUGCUGAUCUAAUCCAGAAACACUCUCACAGACACAGUGUGUAGUCUGGGCACCCCACAGUGCACUUAAGUGGACACAUAAAAUUAACCAUCCCAGGGAGUGAGAUGGGUAAGGGAAGAUGGGCCACAGUGGGUGUGUCUCCAUGCCUACCCCCACUGUGGGCAGCUGCUGGAGCACACGCCUCAAAGUCUUCCCUGAGGGAGAGGGAGCUGAGGUGUUUAUAUCCCAGCUCUGUCAGGCAUUGGCUGAAUGUCCACACUCCUGGAUCACCGCCUCUCAUCCUCAUGAUGUCCCAUGGUCCUCAUUUCACAAGUGAGCUCUGGGUACAUGGGGAGCAUCAGUCACACCCUGGGUCAGUACCUCAGCUGUCUCUCACAUGACAUCCUCAUUAUCCACACUGCAAAGCCAACCAUCCCUAUGAUGGGUUCAUUGUGGAUCAUGACUUAGUGGGUCAAGAGUUUGGAAGUGGCUCAGCUGGGCGGUUCUUCUGCUCCAUGUGGCUGCCAGAUGGUACCCUGCUGGUGGGCAGUCUGGUCUAGAGGGUCCAUGAUGGCUUUACUCACAUGCCUGGCAUCUUGACAGGGACAGCUGGAAGGCAAGGUUCAGCUGGGACUGUCCACAGAGCUCCUCCCUGUGGCCUUUCCAGCAUGGUGGUCUCAGGGUAGCUGGACUUCCUGCAUGACAGCUCAGGGCUCCCAGAGCUACUGUCCCAAGAGAUAGAAGGUGGAAACUGCCAGUCUCUUAGGCUAGGACCAGAAACCAGCACCCCUGCACCCACAGCCUUUUGGUAGUGAUGAAAUAAACAUAAGAUUUAUCAUUUUAAUCAUUCGUAAGUGGGAUUAAAUACAUUUACAAUAUUGUGUAACCAUCGGCACUGUCUAUAUCUAAAACUUUUUCAUCAUCUGCAAUAAAAACUCUGUAUGCAUUAAACCAUAACUCUCCAUCCUUCUGCCCCUCUUGCCGCUGGUACCCACCAUUUUGCUCUACCUCUAUGAACAAGGCCAUUUCAGACACUUCACAUAAGCAGAAUCAUACAGUAUCAGUUUUUUGGCAAUUGGCUUAUUUCACUUUACAUAAUGUCCUCGAGUUUCAUCCACAUUGCAGCACAUGACGGCACCUCAUUUCCUUUUAAAAAUUUUUUAUUUAUUUAUUUUUUAUUUAUUUAUUUUUGAGAAUGAGUUUUGCUCUUGUCACCCACCUGGAGUGCAAUGGAGCAAUCUCAGCUCACUGCAACCUCUACCUCCUGGGUUCAAGCGAUUCUCCUCCUUCAGCCUCCUGAGUAGCUGGGAUCACAGGCAUCCACCAACACACCCAGCUAAUUUUUGUAUUUUUAGUAGAGGCGGGGUUUCACCAUGUUGGCCAGGCUGGUCUUGAACUCCUGACCUCAGGCAGGUGAUCCCCCCCGCCUUGGCCUCCCAAAGUGCUGGGAUUAUAGGCGUGAGCCACUGUGCCCAGCCUUCAUUCCUUUUGAAGGCUGAGUAAUGCUCCACUGUGUGGAAGGACCACGUUUUGUGUAUCCAUUCAUCGGUCCACGACACUUGGGCUGCUUUCCCCUUUUGGCUGUUGGGGACGGUGCUGCUGUGAACGCGGGUGAACAAAUGACUCAGUCCCCACAUGCUCUUGAUGGAGCCCGGAGCCCACAGAUUCAACGGGAGGGGGAACAGCUUCCUCUCAAUGGGAGGGGGGCAAAGAAUUUGCAGUCUUUUUUCUGUUCAUUUGUUUGUUUGUAGACAGGGUCUUGCUCUGUCACCCAGGCUGGAGUGCAGUGGCACCAUCAAAGCUCACUGCAGUCUCAACCAUCUGGGCUUAAGCGAUCCUCCCACUUCAGCCUCCAGAGUAGUUGGGACUACAGGUGCAUGCCACCAAGCCUGGCUAAUUUUAAUGUUUUUGUAGCAAAGGGAUCUGGAGAUGCUGCCUAGGCUGAUCUCAAACUCCUGGACUCAAGGGAUUUUCCCACCCCGGCCUCUCAAAGUUGUUGGGAUUACAGGUGUGAGUCACCUUUAAUUCCCUGCACCGUGCUAGACAGAGAUUGCUGAAGACUGUGUUCCCGGG